CAAAGAGACUAGAGACGGGGGAAUAUAUCAGGGCGAAUAGCCCAUCUUUUACUCCUGCAGAUAGCGAGCCCCGACUCCACACACCCCUCUGAAGACAGCUGAUACGAAAGACAAAAAUGCUUAUUCAAUGCCCGGAUGUUGAAGAGGUCUGCUCCGCGAGCCGCCUGGUUUAUUGGUGCAACGUUACAAGUAAUGAUGCUGCUUGAAGUAACACAUACAGUAAACAGUACGGCGUGCACUGUAUGUGAAUGGGGAAAAGUGGCAGUUUCACGCGCAGAAAUAUCUUUGACAACAAUACAAGAAAAUAACUUAAGUUUCUCUAAUUACGAAAGUAAACUUUGUUUCAGUUCGGAGCUGACGUGUGGUUAGUGGGACUAAUUCUGUUUUUAAAUUGGUAUUUACUAUAGACCAAUUAAUUUAAUAUUAACAGAAUGAAUCUGGGGAAUGUUUUUCUUUCUGUAAUAUCUUAGUAAUAACUAAAAAAAAGUUCUUCGGAAGCUCUCACGUUAUUUUCCCCGAAAAAAUAAUGUAGUCCGGCAAAUUUCUUGCAGAAUAUAAAUGUACUACAGAAAUAGUUGGUUAAUAUGGUAAAAUAAGUUUUAUAUGGUUAAAACGUAAGUCCCCCGCAAUAUUCACUCAUCUCAGCUAGUUCUCCAGCCAUUGAACUACAUCUAUGACUUCAUGUACGAUCUCUUAGUUGGUCUUUUGCAUAUCCUGGACGUUCUUUUUUGCUGUUGUUUUUCAUUUGAAUAUGUCUUAUUAUGUUCUUUAUGAGGUAUAGAUUUUGCUCCAAUGCGAACUUACACCUAUUACUGGUCGUUCACGGGAACCUCAGCUUAGUUGCACUUAUGCCUAAUUGGUUCCUUGAUAACUAUGCUCGUAAUACAGGCUACUGCUGCCAAACUACGUCGCUUUGGAUUCAUUUACCGUCAAGAUCCAACAAGUGAAACAGUGAAAUUCAUAUUUCACUGCAUCUCUCUGUCUCUGCAACUGGGCAUUAAAACUAGUGCUUCCUCCUCGUCCAGCAUCUGCUUCCCCUCGUCCUGCCCUUUGCACUGGGAAGCAAAGCUUUGGGUCACAGUCAUGGAGUCAAGAUGAGAAGAGAGUAAAAAUGAAUACAUGUAAUGGAGGGUGACACAUGCCAGUGCAAGUGGACGUGGGGGAAAGGCGUUUCUGUAGAAGUGAACUGAAGUACAUCUCCUCGCCUCAUCUGUCUGUUUAAAACAUUAACCGUGUUCCUGUUCACCAUUUUGGCCUCAACACAAAUGGUUCGGUGUCUGUGUGCUGUUCCAGGUAAUCAGUUAGACCACAGCAGUUACCCAGGCUGGAAUAUAUACCCAACCACAUCUAGCAUAUCUGAAAUGGUACUGUAAUAUGAACUAUCAGCGUUGUCUGGUGCUCCACUACCCAGGAAUGUCCCCACUUUAACCCUACUGGACAUGGAAGAUCGUAGGAAAUAUAAGACACCUGAGACACAAUAACUGACUGAAGAGCAGACGACCCAAAGGGAAGCAGAGGGGCACGAAACUUCACAGCGUUUUCAGGAUGGCGGGAAAACAUGUGCACUAGUGGCAAAUUAAACUGCAUUUUUUUUGUAAGGUCAAGGACCUCAGUUGCACAGCAAACAUAAUAAUGCUUAUAAAAAUGUACUGUCAGUCUGAUAGCAAAUCUGUAGCAAAUCAGACAAGCAAUUUGCAUAAAAUGUUAGUAGAUAUAUAAGAUACAUAUGGUGUGUAUAUUCUCCUCUGUAGUAAGGACAAAUGGGAAAGGAUAGCAUGCCUUACAAGCCCAACUUCAAGAAUGAACUCCCAACAUAGACAAAAUAGAGACAAUUAUAGUGCUACUGGAUAUGCCACUGAUGAUACACUGAUGAGUAUGUUAAUGUUGCUGUUUUUAAAACUGUGUGAAGCACUUUGGGAGAAUGUGUCUGGAAAAGGUGAUGCAUGAAAAUCAAUUCAAGUGGAUUGGACUUUAUGUUAUGGCAGUCGGCCUAAUUUAGGCA
Non-coding RNA from Paramormyrops kingsleyae, 2002 nucleotides. The record is from RefSeq and is a predicted model, not a curated record. Lineage: Eukaryota; Metazoa; Chordata; Actinopteri; Osteoglossiformes; Mormyridae.